GAGUUUGAUCAUGGCUCAGAUUGAACGCUGGCGGCAUGCCUUACACAUGCAAGUCGAACGGCAGCACGGGUGCUUGCACCUGGUGGCGAGUGGCGAACGGGUGAGUAAUGUAUCGGAACGUACCAUUCAGUGGGGGAUAACUAUCCGAAAGGAUAGCUAAUACCGCAUAUUCUGUGAGCAGGAAAGCAGGGGAUCGCAAGACCUUGCGCUGAUUGAGCGGCCGAUAUCAGAUUAGCUAGUUGGUGGGGUAAAAGCCUACCAAGGCGACGAUCUGUAGCGGGUCUGAGAGGAUGAUCCGCCACACUGGAACUGAGACACGGUCCAGACUCCUACGGGAGGCAGCAGUGGGGAAUUUUGGACAAUGGGCGAAAGCCUGAUCCAGCCAUGCCGCGUGAGUGAAGAAGGCCUUCGGGUUGUAAAGCUCUUUCGGCCGGGAAGAAAUCGCACAGGCUAAUACCCUGUGUGGAUGACGGUACCGGAAUAAGAAGCACCGGCUAACUACGUGCCAGCAGCCGCGGUAAUACGUAGGGUGCGAGCGUUAAUCGGAAUUACUGGGCGUAAAGCGUGCGCAGGCGGUUUUUUAAGACAGGCGUGAAAUCCCCGGGCUUAACCUGGGAACUGCGCUUGUGACUGGAAGGCUAGAGUACGGCA
Molecule: ribosomal RNA, 651 nt
Filed under: uncultured bacterium
Lineage: Bacteria
Description: bacterial SSU rRNA
Rfam family: Bacterial small subunit ribosomal RNA
Source: RNAcentral